Molecule: long non-coding RNA, 825 nt
Filed under: Marmota monax (woodchuck)
Lineage: Eukaryota; Metazoa; Chordata; Mammalia; Rodentia; Sciuridae
Source: RNAcentral
CCUACCCCUGACUACCAGCCAGAUUAUCCCUGUCUUGACUAGAACUGAGUCACAGGUUUUAUGCUUGCAAGUGUCAUACUGGCUUUUGAAUAAUUUAGAACUGAGUCACACAGGUUUGUGCUUGCAAGGAUCAUACUUGCUUUUGAAUAAUUAAGACUCACCUCCUGGGAUGAAUGAGAAACCCCACUUUGCUAGUAAUAGUUAUUAUUACUACUACGUUUAUGAAUCCUUGGAUCCAAUCCUUGAACUUCUAAACAAAACAAAACAAAAUAACCCUUCAUUCAUUCUAGUACUUUAAGUGUCAUGGUUUUAGUUUUACCUCUAUUCCUCUUAUUUGUUUCCUUCUGUCUGGACUAUUUCUUGAUUACCAGACUCUUUUCCAACUGCAUACUAGACAUUUUCAUGCAUUUUGAACUUAGUAUUUCCUAUACUGAACUCCCCAACUUCCCUGCGUUCUCCUCUAAUUCAGUAAAUAGCUGAAGCUGAAAAACCUUGGUGUCAUUAUUGAUUUCUCACACAUCCCACAUCUGAUUCAUCAGGAAAUCCUAUUGACUAUCUUUAAAGUAUAUGCAGAAGUUGACCACUUUUCACGACAUCCUCUGCUAUAUCAUGUUCCAAACCAUCUGAAUUAUUACAGUGCAUUCUUUUUUUAAUAUUCAUUUUUUAGGUAUAGAUGGACACAAUGCCUUUAUUUCAUUUACUUAUUUUUAUGUGGUGUUGAGGAUCAAACCCAGGACCUCGCCUGUGCUAGGUGAGCGCUCUACCCCUGAGCUACAAACCCAGCUCCUACAGUGCAUUCUUAUGGUCUUCUGCUCUUCCUACUAA